Molecule: unclassified non-coding RNA, 2044 nt
Filed under: Hevea brasiliensis (rubber tree)
Lineage: Eukaryota; Viridiplantae; Streptophyta; Magnoliopsida; Malpighiales; Euphorbiaceae
Source: RNAcentral
CCCAACGUUUAUAUUAUUUGAAUCCAUAUCAUAAGGUGUAACGAAAUUUUUACGCUGGUUGUCAUCUACCGCAACCCUCCUCCUUUAUCUGGGCUUGGGACCGGCUAAGUACAAACUACUUAGGCGGAGUUAACAUUGUCUUACAAUAUGAUUUAAUAAUUAAUUUUAUGACUUUUAUUUGAGUUUUUCCAUUUCUGUAUUUUAGACUGAAAAUUCAAUUUUAAACAUUGUUGCUUACAAUAAGAAGUGUUACCAUUAUCAAUCCCAUUAUUAAUCAAUUAUAACUGAAAACCUUUGUGCUUGUUCCUGACAGCAUAUUUUUGGAGGGUUUUUCCCCUGUAGGGUGAGGCCCAAAUAAAAUUUUUAGCUGACCCAACUAGUUUGGAAUUAGGGGCUUAGGGCUUUGUUCAGUUAACUUAAGUUGAAAGCAAAAGACCAUAUUUUAUUUUAGAUUUGGUUAAAUCUAAAAUGUUUGGUUAAGUUAUACCAGAAUUUUUGGUUAAGCCUAUGUCAAAAUAUAAAUUUGAGUAAUUUUGAUUAUUAAAAAAAGAAAACCUUAAUGGUAGCACUGGCUGAUACAGUUUGAUGUGGAUUAAUAUGUUAUGAUACUGUGACUUUGGGACCGCAACCAAUUCCAAUGUUUGACUGCAACCUUAAAAGUAUUUUCGAAAUUUUAAAUUUUGAUCUCUUCCUUGCUGCUUGGUUUAUAUUAUUUAGUUUUGUUGUUAAAUGGUUUUGAGAAUUGAUUUCCUGUAAUGAUACUUUUGUACCUCUAAUGGUGGAUUUGUCAUGAUCUGAAGGACCGGGCUAAUGAGAUCUAUAAACGGGUGGAAGAUCAAAAGUCAAGUAGAGGAAGAAAUCAGGACGCCUUAUUGGCUGCUUGCCUCUACAUUGCUUGUCGACAAGAAGACAAGCCACGAACUGUAAAGGAAAUUUGCUCUGUCGCCAAUGGAGCUACAAAGAAGGAAAUUGGCCGAGCAAAAGAAUACAUAGUGAAACAACUGGGGUUGGAGACAGGUCAGUCAGUGGAGAUGGGAACUAUUCACGCUGGGGAUUUUAUGAGGCGUUUUUGUUCCAAUCUUGGUAUGAAUAAUCAAGCAGUGAAAGCUGCCCAAGAAGCUGUGCAGAAGUCGGAAGAGUUUGACAUAAGGAGGAGUCCUAUAUCAAUUGCAGCAGCAGUCAUUUAUAUCAUAACUCAGCUUUCUGAAGAGAAGAAGCCUAGUCUCAAAGAUAUUUCAGGUGCCACAGGAGUUGCUGAAGGAACAAUCAGAAAUUCCUACAAGGACCUCCAUCCUCACGUGUUGAAGAUAAUACCAAGUUGGUUUGCCAAAGAGGAGGAUCUUAAGAAUCUUUGCAGUCCUUGAAUUAUAAAGCAGACAAUAAUGGGAAUCCUUAGACGUUUAAAACUGGUAUUUAGGCCUUUUGUUUUCAUUUUUCUUUGGCAGUCAGCUACACAUUUUGUUCGGACUGUGGGAAAACAAAGUAUUUCAGCCAUUCAAUUCUAACCCAUGUUUGAAGGAGCAGCAACAUCCAACUUAUCAGUGGAUAUUGACGUGUAUUAUGCAAUCAAAGCCUACUUUUGAAUCAUUUCAUUUGGCAACUUUUUGCUGAUGAGUUUUGGCUAAGGAAUCAUCUCAACCAUCACAUGAAAUUUGGAUCUGGAAGCCUACUUUGGGUUUGGCUAGUUCUGCUAUCAAUUGAUAUUACCUGUUGAGUACUAUAAAAUUGCUAAGGUUACACUAUGUGAGGAUAAGCCACUUAGGUGGAACAUACCUUUGAAAUCGGCUUGCAUGCUUAGGCACUUAUUAAUCUCUCACCAAGGUUAUUCUUGGGUAAUUUGGGAUUGUAACAAUAUCCCAAGCUUGGAGAUCAAUAUUCUUAUUGGUAACGGUCAUGUUGGUUACAAUUAGCAUUCCUGUUUUUAUAUAUUGUGUCUAAGUCACCAUUCUGUGAGCCACCAAUUUUUAUUUAAUUUGAAAUUGUUGAUCAUUGUGUGGUACUAUGUGUACUAUUUCCUGCUAUAUUUCUCUGCUUAUUUAUCUCC